This 253-nucleotide ribosomal RNA is filed under the name uncultured bacterium. Its description in RNAcentral is "partial 16S ribosomal RNA". It matches the Rfam family "Bacterial small subunit ribosomal RNA", at positions 524 to 776 of the family's 1533-position model. The record is from RNAcentral.
UACGUAGGCGGCAAGCGUUGUCCGGAAUUAUUGGGCGUAAAGCGCGCGCAGGUGGUUUCUUAAGUCUGAUGUGAAAGCCCACGGCUCAACCGUGGAGGGUCAUUGGAAACUGGGGAACUUGAGUGCAGGAGAGAAGAGUGGAAUUCCACGUGUAGCGGUGAAAUGCGUAGAGAUGUGGAGGAACACCAGUGGCGAAGGCGACUCUUUGGCCUGUAACUGACGCUGAGGCGCGAAAGCGUGGGGAGCAAACAGG